GCAAGUCGAACGAGAUCUUCGGAUCUAGUGGCGCACGGGUGCGUAACGCGUAUGCAACUUACCUCUUACUGGGGAAUAACUUUCCGAAAGGGAAGCUAAUACCGCAUAAUAGAUAUUGAGGCAUCUCAUAAUCUUAAAAGGUUACGGUAGGAGAUGGGCAUGCGUCCCAUUAGCUAGUUGGUAAGGUAACGGCUUACCAAGGCGACGAUAGGUAGGGGUCCUGAGAGGGAGAUC
This 234-nucleotide ribosomal RNA is filed under the name uncultured bacterium. RNAcentral describes it as "partial 16S ribosomal RNA". It matches the Rfam family "Bacterial small subunit ribosomal RNA", at positions 57 to 305 of the family's 1533-position model. The record is from RNAcentral.